GAUGAACGCUGGCGGCGUGCUUAACACAUGCAAGUCGAACGGAAAGGCUCCUGCUUGCAGGGGUACUCGAGUGGCGAACGGGUGAGUAACACGUGGGUGAUCUGCCCUGCACUUCGGGAUAAGCCUGGGAAACUGGGUCUAAUACCGGAUAGGACGAUGGUUUGGAUGCCAUUGUGGAAAGUUUUUCGGUGUGGGAUGAGCUCGCGGCCUAUCAGCUUGUUGGUGGGGUAAUGGCCUACCAAGGCGUCGACGGGUAGCCGGCCUGAGAGGGUGUACGGCCACAGUGGGACUGAGAGACGGCCCAGACUCCUACGGGAGGCAGCAGUGGGGAAUAUUGCACAAUGGGCGCAAGCCUGAUGCAGCGACGCCGCGGGGGGGAUGACGGCCUUCGGGUUGUAAACUCCUUUCGCUAGGGACGAAGCGUUUUGUGACGGUACCUGGAGAAGAAGCACCGGCUAACUACGUG
Molecule: ribosomal RNA, 466 nt
Filed under: uncultured bacterium
Lineage: Bacteria
Description: partial 16S ribosomal RNA
Rfam family: Bacterial small subunit ribosomal RNA
Source: RNAcentral